Molecule: ribosomal RNA, 330 nt
Filed under: Klebsiella pneumoniae
Lineage: Bacteria; Pseudomonadati; Pseudomonadota; Gammaproteobacteria; Enterobacterales; Enterobacteriaceae
Description: bacterial LSU rRNA
Rfam family: Bacterial large subunit ribosomal RNA
Source: RNAcentral
AAGUGGUACGCGAGCUGGGUUUAGAACGUCGUGAGACAGUUCGGUCCCUAUCUGCCGUGGGCGCUGGAGAAUUGAGGGGGCUGCUCCUAGUACGAGAGGACCGGAGUGGACGCAUCACUGGUGUUCGGGUUGUCAUGCCAAUGGCAUGCCCGGUAGCUAAAUGCGGAAGAGAUAAGUGCUGAAAGCAUCUAAGCACGAAACUUGCCCCGAGAUGAGUUCUCCCUGAGACUAUAAGUCUCCUGAAGGAACGUUGAAGACGACGACGUUGAUAGGCCGGGUGUGUAAGCGCAGCGAUGCGUUGAGCUAACCGGUACUAAUGAACCGUGAGGC